GAUGAACGCUGGCGGCGUGCCUAAUACAUGCAAGUCGAGCGAACAGACAAGGAGCUUGCUCCUCUGACGUUAGCGGCGGGCGGGUGAGUAACACGUGGAUAACCUACCUAUAAGACUGGGAUAACUUCGGGAAACCGGAGCUAAUACCGGAUAAUAUAUUGAACCGCAUGGUUCAAUAGUGAAAGACGGUUUUGCUGUCACUUAUAGAUGGAUCCGCGCCGCAUUAGCUAGUUGGUAAGGUAACGGCUUACCAAGGCAACGAUGCGUAGCCGACCUGAGAGGGUGAUCGGCCACACUGGAACUGAGACACGGUCCAGACUCCUACGGGAGGCAGCAGUAGGGAAUCUUCCGCAAUGGGCGAAAGCCUGACGGAGCAACGCCGCGUGAGUGAUGAAGGUCUUCGGAUCGUAAAACUCUGUUAUUAGGGAAGAACAAAUGUGUAAGUAACUAUGCACGUCUUGACGGUACCUAAUCAGAAAGCCACGGCUAACUACGUG
This 497-nucleotide ribosomal RNA is filed under the name uncultured bacterium. RNAcentral describes it as "partial 16S ribosomal RNA". It matches the Rfam family "Bacterial small subunit ribosomal RNA", at positions 28 to 507 of the family's 1533-position model. The record is from RNAcentral.